UACGGAGGGGGCUAGCGUUGUUCGGAAUUACUGGGCGUAAAGCGCACGUAGGCGGCUUUGUAAGUUAGAGGUGAAAGCCCAGGGCUUAACCCUGGAAUUGCCUUUAAGACUGCAUCGCUAGAAUCGUGGAGAGGUGAGUGGAAUUCCGAGUGUAGAGGUGAAAUUCGUAAAUAUUCGGAAGAACACCAGUGGCGAAGGCGACUCACUGGACACGUAUUGACGCUGAGGUGCGAAAGCGUGGGGAGCAAACAGG
Molecule: ribosomal RNA, 253 nt
Filed under: uncultured bacterium
Lineage: Bacteria
Description: partial 16S ribosomal RNA
Rfam family: Bacterial small subunit ribosomal RNA
Source: RNAcentral